Molecule: long non-coding RNA, 564 nt
Filed under: Mytilus galloprovincialis (Mediterranean mussel)
Lineage: Eukaryota; Metazoa; Mollusca; Bivalvia; Mytilida; Mytilidae
Source: RNAcentral
GAAAUAAAUAGGGUAGGUAGGUAAGGAUUUCUUUUAAUAUUUGUUUUACAUUGAGUCUAUGGGAAAAACAAUGUGAAUUUGACAGUGCUUAGAUAUCAAAAAUGGUCAAACCAAAAAAAGAUUAGGGUAGGUGGCGGUAGAAUAAACACACAUACUUUUUUGUUUGACUUGAUCAAUUCAAUGUGCAAACAUGUCAAAACAAAUAUGUGUGUAUUAACAUCAGAGAUCAAAGAUUAUUUCUGUGAGGGAAGAGGGUUAUAUGUACGUGCCUUAUUCAUCAUUACAUUUGUUUUUUUUUUGUAUUUCUAACACUACAAUCAUAAUAAGUUUCAAAGGGUAAUAGCCCAUCGUUAUUAAAUACAUAUUCAUUCAAAUCAAAAUGCUCAACCUAUUAUGACAGUAUGACUUGUAGGCAAAUAUUUAAGAAAAUGUUCUCUUAAAAGUUUGCUAUAUGCAGUAUAGUUUCUGUUCAUUGUUGUGGUUAGUACGGUUAGGUAUAGCUGUUAACCUCUACGUCACAUGUUUUUUAUAGGAGAGUUAUCUCUUUAUAAAUCUUACCACUUC